AGCCCGUCCCGUAUUAACGUUUUUAUAAGUGUGAAGUUUGUUUAAUUAUCCUAGUUUUUAAGAGUGGACGUUUUGUCUGUGUGUUUGUUUGAAAAUGACUUAUGGACUAUACACUCAGACACACUCAUUAUUCAUUAUUCCUUCCCGUGAUUCCCUCAAACACUCACACUCUCUCUCUCCCGUCAAGCUCUCUCUCACUCUCUCUCUCUUUCUACACUCACGGCAAAACAACAAGGAUCUUCAAAUCUUCACAGAUCGAAGAAACAAAGACCACCAUCGUCUUCAUCUCGUCGAUACGAAUUCAUCCAUACCCAUUUCAGGGGUUUUUAAGCUCAUAGGGAGCUUAAGGAGGUUCUUAGGAAGCUCGGAAUGCUUCGUUGGAAGUUUUUGGAAGUAAAACACAGAGAUCGGAAAGUUCAAUGUUUGGUCGGAACUUUCGAGACGUUUUCCGGCCAAACCACGGAGAGUUAGACGUCGUGCGAGUUUCCGGCGAGUCCGAUGGCUUUCGAGGCUUUUUCCGGUGAAUUCCCGGCGAGUUAAGGGUCGAGACAGGUGAAAAUUUUACGGACGAAGAACGUAACCAAAAUAGGCGAGGGGGUUACGAACCGGCUACUUAUCUGUGAGUGGGCAGUUUUGUUUUCCGUAUACAUAUAUACUAUUGAGUCUUCCCAGAAAUUGAAUUUAAAUGAAAGCAUGAUUUAAAAUGCCAUGGAUAGAAUUAUAUGAAAAGUAU
Malus domestica (apple) is the source of this 733-nucleotide non-coding RNA. NCBI's taxonomy places the organism in Eukaryota, Viridiplantae, Streptophyta, Magnoliopsida, Rosales, Rosaceae. The record is from RefSeq and is a predicted model, not a curated record.